AAGUUUAAUUUUUUAAAAAAAAAAGAUUUAAAAUUUUGACAUUAUUUCAAAAUUUUGACGUAAAAUUUUAAUAUUUAAUUUUCAAUUUGAAUUUAAAUUAAUAUAUUAUAAAGAUAAAGUUAGCAUAUUAAUUUGAUUACGUUUUUUAUAUCUACCUGAACCAAACACCAACAAUGGAAAUGAUUUAUUCCGAUUCCGAUUCAGGUGAUGAACCAAACAGAAUUAGGUAACGAGUCAUUCCGAUUCCAAUUCCAGCUUAUUUCGAUUCUGAUUCUUAUUCCGAUUCCGACUUCGAACCAAACACACCCCUAAUGUAAGCAAUUAUAUAAGUUGAAUAAAUAAUUGCUCAAGUGGCUUCUAAAUAAUCAGCCUAAUAUCAAGUGCUCAAUUUACACAAAUUCGACAACCAUCAUUCAUUC
Molecule: long non-coding RNA, 419 nt
Filed under: Ananas comosus (pineapple)
Lineage: Eukaryota; Viridiplantae; Streptophyta; Magnoliopsida; Poales; Bromeliaceae
Description: long non-coding RNA (ACOM_LNC028323)
Source: RNAcentral